GGGGAGAGUUACUAUCUUCUAGAGGUAAAGGUGACAGGAGACAGGAAGAGGGGGAGAGUUACUAUCUUCUAGAGGUAAAGGUGACAGGAGACAGGAAGAGGGGGAGAGUUACUAUCUUCUAGAGGUAAAGGUGACAGGAGACAGGAAGAGGGGGAGAGUUACUAUCUUCUAGAGGUAAAGGUGACAGGAGACAGGAAGAGGGGGAGAGUUACUAUCUUCUAGAGGUAAAGGUGACAGGAGACAGGAAGAGGGGGAGAGUUACUAUCUUCUAGAGGUAAAGGUGACAGGAGACAGGAAGAGGGGGAGAGUUACUAUCUUCUAGAGGUAAAGGUGACAGGAGACAGGAAGAGGGGGAGAGUUACUAUCUUCUAGACA
Molecule: long non-coding RNA, 375 nt
Organism: Coregonus clupeaformis (lake whitefish)
Lineage: Eukaryota; Metazoa; Chordata; Actinopteri; Salmoniformes; Salmonidae
Exons: 3
Source: RefSeq, a predicted model, not a curated record